AAUCAACGCUGGCGGCGUGCCUAACACAUGCAAGUCGCACGAGAAAGGGACUUCGGUCCUGAGUACAGUGGCGCACGGGUGAGUAACACGUGAAUGAUCUACCUUCGAGUGGGGAAUAACUGAGAGAAAUCUUAGCUAAUACCGCAUAAUACCUACGGGUCAAAGCAGCAAUGCGCUUGAAGAGGAGUUCGCGGCAGAUUAGUUAGUUGGCAGGGUAAGGCCUACCAAGACGAUGAUCUGUAUCCGGCCUGAGAGGGCGCACGGACACACUGGAACUGAAACACGGUCCAGACUCCUACGGGAGGCAGCAGUGGGGAAUUUUGCGCAAUGGGGGAAACCCUGACGCAGCAACGCCGCGUGGAGGAU
This 366-nucleotide ribosomal RNA is filed under the name uncultured bacterium. Its description in RNAcentral is "bacterial SSU rRNA". It matches the Rfam family "Bacterial small subunit ribosomal RNA", at positions 32 to 409 of the family's 1533-position model. The record is from RNAcentral.